GUUUGGCUUGUACUUGCGAGUCAUUUUUGUGUUGUCGUUUAUCUCCGUAUGUAAGUGAAGUUCUUACUGGAAAAGAUGGAAACUUUUGAAUUUUAUAAAGUCUUGGAAGAUGUGUCGCCUGAAAAAUUUUACUCUAGUCGAAUGAAGAGGGAGCGAAAUGAAAUAUGACGUGUGUCUGUGAACUUUAUAAUGGACAUGUACAGCUUUUUGAUGCCCAGUGGUAACCAGCCUACCAUGUGGCUCAACAGAUGCCAGUGUACCUGAAUUCUGAGACAUAAUUGGACGUUCUUUUCUUUUAAGAUUCCCAGUUUGGGAUGAUGUGCAGUUCAUGUUAGAUUUGCUCUUUCUACAGUUACAGUGAAGUAGAAGAGUCCAGUCGUGUUAUGGGGCAGCAGCUGAAGAAGAAGGAUGGAGAGACGUGUGCCAUGUUGAAGUAUUGGCUGGUCCUCCUGCCCGCUCUUCUGGAAUCCUCCAUCUAAACCUCUGCUCUGAUCUGCUGUGCCUUUGCCAAGUGAUCACGAGUUUAUUGCAGUGGUGCCCCCCUGCGUCUCCACCGUCUGUUACAUCAACUCCAACUGCCUGCGACAGAAGAAAAGUUCACAAGACGUUCUGAAAUGGAAUUGUGAUUGGAGUAAGACGGCCACAAUUAUGUAUGCUGGGAUGUGCAGAGGGGGCUGUUUGGGCUUUGGCUUGUGACCCCCAGAGGUUUAUUAUCUCCAGUGUCCUUGAAGGCUGCAAGUUUGUCUUUGUCCCCAGCCAUUUGACCAGGCAGUGUAUUUAUUACAAAGGACAAGGACCCCUCCAUUUGCUUCUUAUUUACUUUUAUAAUAUCUUCAGUUUUCUUUGUAACUGUAUAUCUUUGUGGAGCAAAGGUGAUAUAAAAAUAUUAUCAGUGAACAAAUUAGGAAAAAUGUCAGUUUAAAUAGAACACAUUUUUUAUGGAAUAUUGCUGGAUAAUGUAGAAGAAGAAUGUUCUCCUCAGCACCAUGUAUUUUUGUGUGUUUAGUAAAUUAGAAUUUUUAUAAUAACUAUUUUGUAACUUGCCAGUGAGAGACGCUUUGGCUUAUGAACUAACAAAAAUAUGUUAUUCCAGGGUUCAGGAGAAAUAGUGUCCACAUGAAUAAAAUCUAAGCUGUUUCUUGUUUUCCCUUUCUCAGAGUGAAUGUUUCAGGGACAAGGUCACAAGGCUGCAGAAAGUACAUGUAGUUUAUGCAAAGGCGUCUCUCCUGUGCUUAGCUUCCAAAACACAGAUAAUGCUUAGCUCAACAGACAUAUUGUUUAACUUUACUGUUUUGAUAAGGAUGUUCUUUCUGUCUUAUUAAUCAUGAGAUGCUGAAGUAUAAAAAACCCCUCCUGGCUUUUGAUCAGGGUUCAAUUGAGCUUUGCGGCAAUAAGUUAUACUCUUUUGAAUCUCUACUUACUGCGACUCCGAAUGAAUAAAUAAAGAGAAUUGAGAAAAUAUUAUCUGUCUGCUUUUCAGUGUGCCUUUUUCGUCCACAAUAACAAUUCUUUGACUCUGGGUAGCAUCUUGUUCAUAAAACUAAAAUAGCAUUUUUCCUUUUUUGUCAAAUUUAAUGAUUCACUUUUAUUGUGUUCAAAACCUUGACUUAACAUUUUUUUUAAAUACUAAGGUAAAAAUCUGUAAAUAUAUUUGUGUUCUCCUUCCCUAAUAGUUUUUAACAC
Long non-coding RNA from Erpetoichthys calabaricus (reedfish), 1683 nucleotides. RefSeq lists it as uncharacterized. The record is from RefSeq and is a predicted model, not a curated record. NCBI's taxonomy places the organism in Eukaryota, Metazoa, Chordata, Cladistia, Polypteriformes, Polypteridae. The transcript is spliced from 4 exons.